UCUGGUCUUGGGACACUGUCAGGUGGGCAGUUUGACUGGGGCGGUCGCCUCCCAAAAGGUAACGGAGGCGCUCAAAGGUUCUCUCAGUACGGUCGGAAAUCGUACGUAGAGUGUAAAGGCAAAAGAGAGCUUGAUUGCAAGACAUACAGGUCGAGCAAGGAUGAAAAUCGGACUUAGUGAUCCGGUGGUUCUGCGUGGAAGGGCCAUCGCUCAACGGAUAAAAGCUACCCUGGGGAUAACAGGCUUAUCUCCCCCAAGAGUCCACAUCGACGGGGAGGUUUGGCACCUCGAUGUCGGCUCAUCACAUCCUGGGGCUGUAGUAGGUCCCAAGGGUUGGGCUGUUCGCCCAUUAAAGUGGUACGCGAGCUGGGUUCAGAACGUCGUGAGACAGUUCGGUCCCUAUCCGUCGCAGGCGUAGGAAAUUUGAGAAGACCUGUCCUUAGUACGAGAGGACCGGGAUGGACGUACCUCUGGUGUACCAGUUGUCCUGCCAAGGGCAUGGCUGGGUAGCUAUGUACGGAAUGGAUAAGCGCUGAAAGCAUCUAAGCGCGAAGCCAACUUCAAGAUAAGAUUUCCCACCGCAAGGGUAAGACCCCAGAAAGACUAACUGGUUG
Molecule: ribosomal RNA, 614 nt
Filed under: Clostridioides difficile
Lineage: Bacteria; Bacillati; Bacillota; Clostridia; Peptostreptococcales; Peptostreptococcaceae
Description: bacterial LSU rRNA
Rfam family: Bacterial large subunit ribosomal RNA
Source: RNAcentral